RNAcentral lists this ribosomal RNA (502 nucleotides) under uncultured bacterium. Its description in RNAcentral is "partial 16S ribosomal RNA". It matches the Rfam family "Bacterial small subunit ribosomal RNA", at positions 29 to 523 of the family's 1533-position model. The record is from RNAcentral.
AUUGAACGCUGGCGGAAUGCUUUACACAUGCAAGUCGAACGGCAGCACGGGUGCUUGCACCUGGUGGCGAGUGGCGAACGGGUGAGUAAUACAUCGGAACGUACCCAGUCGUGGGGGAUAACGUAGCGAAAGUUACGCUAAUACCGCAUACGUCCUGAGGGAGAAAGCGGGGGACCGUAAGGCCUCGCGCGAUUGGAGCGGCCGAUGGCGGAUUAGCUAGUAGGUGGGGUAAAGGCCUACCAAGGCGACGAUCCGUAGCGGGUCUGAGAGGACGGCCCGCCACACUGGAACUGAGACACGGUCCAGACUCCUACGGGAGGCAGCAGUGGGGAAUUUUGGACAAUGGGCGAAAGCCUGAUCCAGCCAUUCCGCGUGAGUGAAGAAGGCCUUCGGGUUGUAAAGCCCUUUCGGCAGGGAAGAAACGGCUUGGGAUAAUACCCCGGGCUAAUGACGGUACCUGAAGAAGAAGCACCGGCUAACUACGUGCCAGCCGCCGCAGUAA